RNAcentral lists this small nucleolar RNA (133 nucleotides) under Castor canadensis (American beaver). RNAcentral's name for it is "Small nucleolar RNA SNORA13 (ENSCCNG00000029305.1)". It matches the Rfam family "Small nucleolar RNA SNORA13". Rfam says of the family: ACA13 is a member of the H/ACA class of snoRNA that guide the sites of modification of uridines to pseudouridines. Lineage: Eukaryota; Metazoa; Chordata; Mammalia; Rodentia; Castoridae. The record is from Rfam by way of RNAcentral.
AGCCUUUGUGUUUCCUAUUCAGUUUUGGAAACUAGUUGAUGAGGUGUCAAGAAAGGCAUAAAUAAAUGCUUUGCAGUCUUUUCCUACCCUUAAAUUUGGUAUCUUUGGUAUAAGACCUGCAUACACAACAGUU